UCGAGGAUCUUCGGCAAUGGGCGCAAGCCUGACCGAGCGACGCCGCGUGGAGGAUGAAGGCCUUCGGGUUGUAAACUCCUGUCGAGGGGGAUCAAGGUCCCGAAAGGGACUUGAGAGAUCCCUGGAGGAAGCACGGGCUAAGUUCGUGCCAGCAGCCGCGGUAAGACGAACCGUGCGAACGUUGUUCGGAAUCACUGGGCUUAAAGGGCGCGUAGGCGGCUUGAAAAGUCGGGGGUGAAAUCCAGCAGCUUAACUGUUGAAGUGCCUUCGAUACUGUCGAGCUCGAGGAAGGUAGGGGUGCGCGGAACUUCUGGUGGAGCGGUGAAAUGCGUUGAUAUCAGAAGGAACGCCGGUGGCGAAAGCGGCGCACUGGACCUUUUCUGACGCUGAGGCGCGAAAGCUAGGGGAGCAAACGG
RNAcentral lists this ribosomal RNA (416 nucleotides) under uncultured bacterium. RNAcentral's name for it is "bacterial SSU rRNA". It matches the Rfam family "Bacterial small subunit ribosomal RNA", at positions 355 to 775 of the family's 1533-position model. The record is from RNAcentral.